GUAGCACGGCAGCGCGGGGUAACCUGGCGGCGAGUGGCGAACGGGUGAGUAAUACAUCGGAACGUACCCUGUGAUGGGGGAUAACUACGCGAAAGCGUAGCUAAUACCGCAUACGACCUACGGGUGAAAGUGGGGGAUCGCAAGACCUCACGUCAUAGGAGCGGCCGAUGGCGGAUUAGCUAGUUGGUGAGGUAAAGGCUUACCAAGGCAACGAUCCGUAGCUGGUCUGAGAGGACGACCAGCCACACUGGGACUGAGACACGGCCCAGACUCCUACGGGAGGCAGCAGUGGGGAAUCUUGGACAAUGGGGGCAACCCUGAUCCAGCAAUGCCGCGUGUGGGAUGAAGGCCUUCGGGUUGUAAACCACUUUUGGCGGGGGCGAAAUAUCGAGUGCUAAUACCAUUCGGUGAUGACGGUACCCGCAGAAUAAGCACCGGCUAACUACGUGCCAGCAGCCCC
Molecule: ribosomal RNA, 460 nt
Filed under: uncultured Thiomonas sp.
Lineage: Bacteria; Pseudomonadati; Pseudomonadota; Betaproteobacteria; Burkholderiales
Description: bacterial SSU rRNA
Rfam family: Bacterial small subunit ribosomal RNA
Source: RNAcentral